Molecule: long non-coding RNA, 711 nt
Organism: Peromyscus eremicus (cactus mouse)
Lineage: Eukaryota; Metazoa; Chordata; Mammalia; Rodentia; Cricetidae
Exons: 3
Source: RefSeq, a predicted model, not a curated record
AAGGGAAGUUGGUGUUGCCACAACAUACGUGACAUCACAGAAGAAGCCAGGGCUCUCCAGGAUACAAUAGAAUGUUCAGGGAAGAGCUGCAAAUGUCAUGGGAACUGACAUUGAUUCUAUGCUAAUGAGCUUUCCUCAUAAUACACUGGAAGUCAAGUUGACUUUUGCAGGAGCCUCUGCUAGGAUACAAGGGAAGCCCUUCAGCACCCCCUUCAUCCAAAGCCAGAGAUCUCUCCCCAAUUUAUUGGACAUCGUUUAGUUCUUUCCAUGUGUGGAACUGAAUGUUUAUCUCCUACUGAAAUUUUAUGUACACAAGGUCAGAAGCAGCUCCAUAAACCUGAGAGCAAAGUAGCACCUUAAAUUCCAGGUUGGCACUUUGCUGACAGACACAUCCAAGCAUCAAUUGUUAAUGACAACUGCUCCAUGUGACUAUGAGCCCUGAACUUCAUGAAAGCUGAUAUAAACUAAUCCAACUGAUGCAAAGGCUGUUUCUUCAGCUGGUAAAUGAACCAGAGGUUUCUAAAUUGCCUCCUUAUCUUUGAAUAACACUCUAGCCUUCCAAGGCCCUGACAAUAAUGAGCCAAUGUCAGCAGGAAGUAAUUACAGAAGCCAAUACAUUACCCUUGUUCCACCUUUCCCCUUGGAAUGUUACAUCAAAAGGUAAUUUCUUGUCAUAUGGAACCUGAGAUAAAAUAAUUACUGAUGCUUAGA